GCCCCGGUGGCUCAGCUGGUAGAGCGGCGGUCUCGUAAACCGCAGGUCGCGGGUUCGAAGCCCGCCCGGGGCU
This 73-nucleotide transfer RNA is filed under the name Candidatus Bathyarchaeota archaeon. Its description in RNAcentral is "tRNA-Thr". It matches the Rfam family "tRNA". Rfam says of the family: Transfer RNA (tRNA) molecules are approximately 80 nucleotides in length. Their secondary structure includes four short double-helical elements and three loops (D, anti-codon, and T loops). The record is from RNAcentral. Lineage: Archaea; Thermoproteati; Candidatus Bathyarchaeota.